RNAcentral lists this long non-coding RNA (450 nucleotides) under Serinus canaria (Common canary). RNAcentral describes it as "lncRNA (ENSSCAG00000004189.1)". Lineage: Eukaryota; Metazoa; Chordata; Aves; Passeriformes; Fringillidae. The record is from RNAcentral.
GGAAAUGCAACGCCAUGAGUAGACAUAUAUAAUUGUAGAGAUGGGGAAUGAAUAAACGUGUUUCAAAGAACAAGGAGAAUUCUAAAUGUCAGCAAAGGGGUAUAUGACUCACUCAUUGGGAAAAUACUAUUAUUGGAUACGUAAGUAGGACUGUACAAAGCACUCAGAAGAGGGAUGCUACUAGAAAAAGAAGAAUUAAUAAAUGAAGGUAACAUUUGGAUUCCAGUGACAGAUGGAUCUCUCUCGUGCGCACUUGCUCUUUCCUUCUCUGUAUUUUUGUUUUCGACAUGUUUGAUCCAAAGCUCUGAAGCUUCUCAGAGGGAACCCAGGAAAGAAGGAAGGGAAGGAGUAGAAACCAAGGGAGCGUGAGCGACACAGGAGGCAGCCCUGCCUUGUUCUUCCAAAUCACACUGUGGAGGGGCGGGGGAAGACUAGAGGGGGAGGACUUGG